This 229-nucleotide ribosomal RNA is filed under the name uncultured bacterium. RNAcentral describes it as "partial 16S ribosomal RNA". It matches the Rfam family "Bacterial small subunit ribosomal RNA", at positions 568 to 796 of the family's 1533-position model. The record is from RNAcentral.
UACGUAGGCGGAAGAUUAAGUCAGUGGUGAAAUCCCGCAGCUCAACUGUGGAACUGUCAUUGAUACUAGUUUUCUUGAAUUUAGUUGAGGUAGGCGGAAUGUGUAAUGUAGCGGUGAAAUGCUUAGAUAUUACACAGAACACCGAUUGCGAAGGCAGCUUACUAAACUAUGAUUGACGCUGAGGUACGAAAGCGUGGGGAGCGAACAGGAUUAGAUACCCUGGUAGUCC